GGAGGUGCGCUGAUCACAGAAGUAUCCUGUCUGUCUGAAGGCCACAGUCUGGAGGGAGAGCAAUGAAGACAGUGACUGGACCUUUGUUCCUGUGCUUGUGGCUGCAGCUGAACUGUGUGAGCAGAGGAGAGCAGGUGGAGCAGCGCCCUCCUCACCUGAGUGUCCGGGAGGGAGACAGCGCCGUUAUCAUCUGCACCUACACAGACAGUGCCACUGCUUACUUCUUCUGGUACAAGCAAGAGCCGGGGACAGGUCUCCAGUUGCUUAUGAGUGUUCUUUCAAAUGUGGACAGAAAAGAAGAACAAGGACUCACUGUCUUACUGAAUAAGAAAGACAAAAUUCUUUAUCUGAACAUUACAGCUGCUCGUCUUGAGGACUCAGCCACGUACUUCUGCGCAGCCAGUGCACAGUGCUCCCCAGGCACCUGCUGCCUGCACACAAACCUGGGGACAGGGGGAGCAACCUUAAAAAUUGUUUUGAAAUAG
Molecule: non-coding RNA, 485 nt
Organism: Grammomys surdaster
Lineage: Eukaryota; Metazoa; Chordata; Mammalia; Rodentia; Muridae
Source: the annotation of a RefSeq genome assembly